UCCUGCCAGCUCGUCGUCACUCCACUCAGGCCGAAACGAAGUCCUCGGCCGAGCGUCCUCGUCACUCCCGUGCUGUGAGCCUUCGUGGCAGGUCCUGGCCGCGUGCUUUCCUCCGGUUUUAUCGGCCGUCUUCAGUCGCUUUCAGUGGCGUUCUGGUCGCGUUGGUCUUUGGUCCGACAAUUGCCAAAACACUAAUUUUUGUGAAUGAAAUUCGUGAUAAACUCAGUGAGUGAAUGAAUGAGCACGCCUUCGUCAAACAAUCGCGCAGUGGUUAAAUCAAAUAAAGUGUUAUAAAAAUAUGUGAUUACUUAAAUAAAAGAAUUUUAAAAUGUGAAAUUCAAUUUGGACCGCAACGUCAGUGCAUGAACCACAACAGCCAUCCAGGGGACGGCAAAAUAUAAGAAGUAAAAAAUAAAGCCCCGGAAAAUUUUGAACAGGACAAAGGACAUACCCUCGGGACAGCGGGUCGAGAAAUUGUGGCAUCGAUUGAGGCAGGAAGACCUGCAUCCGACGCUUGGCAGCCCGGCGGCGAGUCCUUGCCAAGGACAUGAAAAUGCGCUUCAUUAAUUUGGCUGGCAGUCGCGGACUGUCUGAGGAGGAAAAUCAGCAGCAGCAGCAGCAGGAGGAACAGGAGCAGGAACUG
Long non-coding RNA from Drosophila gunungcola (fruit fly), 643 nucleotides. RefSeq lists it as uncharacterized. The transcript is spliced from 3 exons. NCBI's taxonomy places the organism in Eukaryota, Metazoa, Arthropoda, Insecta, Diptera, Drosophilidae. The record is from RefSeq and is a predicted model, not a curated record.